Molecule: non-coding RNA, 73 nt
Organism: Hippopotamus amphibius kiboko
Lineage: Eukaryota; Metazoa; Chordata; Mammalia; Artiodactyla; Hippopotamidae
Source: the annotation of a RefSeq genome assembly
UCCCUGGUGGUCCAGUGGUUAGGACUUCAUGCUUCCACUGCUGGGGACCCAGGUUUGAUCCCUGGUCAGGGAA